UGCUGCUGAUCUGCUCUCUCUCUGCAGCUCAGAUUCAAGCCUUUGAGUCUGACAAUGAACUUGGAGUAAAUUUAAGACAAACUGAGGUGACAGGAGGAGAAGCAGGAAAUGUCUCUGAGCAACAACCAACGUGUACGCAGGAUCUCCAUGCAGUGCUGAGGGAGAUGAGCGGCGUGUUGGCUGGACUGAAGGUUGAGAUCAGAUACUUGCAGCGUGAUAAUACAGAACAAGCAAAAAAGACCAGAGAAUUGGAGCAGCAGUACCAAGCACAAUCAGCUAAGGUGAAUCAACUGGAGUCACAAAAUACGGAGCUGAAGCAACAGUACCAAG
Cololabis saira (Pacific saury) is the source of this 330-nucleotide long non-coding RNA. RefSeq lists it as uncharacterized. NCBI's taxonomy places the organism in Eukaryota, Metazoa, Chordata, Actinopteri, Beloniformes, Belonidae. The record is from RefSeq and is a predicted model, not a curated record. The transcript is spliced from 3 exons.